RNAcentral lists this ribosomal RNA (301 nucleotides) under uncultured bacterium. RNAcentral's name for it is "partial 16S ribosomal RNA". It matches the Rfam family "Bacterial small subunit ribosomal RNA", at positions 509 to 807 of the family's 1533-position model. The record is from RNAcentral.
CAGUCGCCGCGGUAAUACGAAGGGUGCAAGCGUUAAUCGGAAUUACUGGGCGUAAAGCGUGCGUAGGCGGUUCGUUAAGUCCGCUGUGAAAUCCCCGGGCUUAACCUGGGAAUGGCAGUGGAUACUGGCUCGCUAGAGUGUGUCAGAGGAUGGUGGAAUUCCCGGUGUAGCGGUGAAAUGCGUAGAGAUCUGGAGGAAUAUCAAUGGCGAAGGCAGCCAUCUGGGACAAUACUGACGCUGAGGCACGAAAGCGUGGGGAGCAAACAGGAUUAGAUACCCCGGUAGUCCCUGUCUCUUAUAC